CUUCUUUUUAAGAUCUUCACUAAGCUUUUAAUUAAUACAUUCGUCUCUUUCUUGAAGCACAAAUACCCCCUUCAUAAAAUCACUUGUUUGGACAUGUAGGGGCGCAGGUGGUUGCUUGAUUCAGGCAGAUUUGGUGCAGCUGCCAUUUUGGGAUCAUUUUGACCUCCUUUGAUAAAGUUGUACCCAUAGGAGAAAGAGUUAUUGGGCUGUUAUUUGGGCUGACCUUCGGGCCGACGGGCCAAACUCUCGGGCUGCGCAAGGUGUGACUCGGGCUUAAGAAGAGAGGCCCAACAUUUGCAUAUUUGUAUUCUUUAAUUCUUUCUCAUCAACACGUGUGUAAAUUAUUUUGUAACUAGAGAGUAGCUUGAUAUGUAUUCGAACUUUCUGGAUCAGCAAAGUAACCUCGUAUUCUUUCUUGACGUUUAUUAUAUUUAAUUUAAUAC
Molecule: long non-coding RNA, 443 nt
Organism: Salvia hispanica
Lineage: Eukaryota; Viridiplantae; Streptophyta; Magnoliopsida; Lamiales; Lamiaceae
Source: RefSeq, a predicted model, not a curated record